Molecule: ribosomal RNA, 23 nt
Filed under: Histoplasma capsulatum
Lineage: Eukaryota; Fungi; Ascomycota; Eurotiomycetes; Onygenales; Ajellomycetaceae
Description: partial 28S ribosomal RNA
Source: RNAcentral
GUUGACCUCGGAUCAGGUAAGAU